CCUACGGGUGGCAGCAGUGAGGAAUAUUGGUCAAUGGCCGGAAGGCUGAACCAGCCAAGUCGCGUGAAGGAAGAAGGAUCUAUGGUUUGUAAACUUCUUUUAUAGGGGAAUAAAGGUAUCCACGUGUGGCUAUUUGCAUGUACCCUAUGAAUAAGCAUCGGCUAACUCCGUGCCAGCAGCCGCGGUAAUACGGAGGAUCCGAGCGUUAUCCGGAUUUAUUGGGUUUAAAGGGAGCGUAGGUUGUUUUUUAAGUCAGCUGUGAAAGUUUGUGGCUCAACCAUAAAAUUGCCGUUGAAACUGGAAGACUUGAGUGUGUUUGAGGUAGGCGGAAUGCGUGGUGUAGCGGUGAAAUGCAUAGAUAUCACGCAGAACUCCGAUUGCGAAGGCAGCUUACUAAGCCAUAACUGACACUGAAGCACGAAAGUGUGGGGAUCAAACAGGAUUAGAUACCCCAGUAGUC
This 460-nucleotide ribosomal RNA is filed under the name uncultured bacterium. Its description in RNAcentral is "partial 16S ribosomal RNA". It matches the Rfam family "Bacterial small subunit ribosomal RNA", at positions 338 to 795 of the family's 1533-position model. The record is from RNAcentral.